This 406-nucleotide ribosomal RNA is filed under the name uncultured bacterium. RNAcentral describes it as "partial 16S ribosomal RNA". It matches the Rfam family "Bacterial small subunit ribosomal RNA", at positions 29 to 526 of the family's 1533-position model. The record is from RNAcentral.
AUUGAACGCUGGCGGCAGGCCUAACACAUGCAAGUCGAGCGAGCGGCGGACGGGUGAGUAAUGUCUGGGAAACUGCCAGAUGGAGGGGGAUAACUACUGGAAACGGUAGCUAAUACCGCAUACCAUCAGAUGUGCCCAGAUGGGACUAGCUCGUAGGUGGGGUAAUGGCUCACCUAGGCGACGAUCCCGAGCUGGUCUGAGAGGAUGAACAGCCACACUGGAGCUGAGACACGGGCCAGACUCCGACGGGAGUUAGCAGUGGGGAAUAUUGCACGAUGGGCGCAAGCCUGAUGCAGCCAUGCCGCGUGUGUGAAGAAGGCCUUCGGGUUGUAAAGCACUUUCAGCGAGGAGGCGUUACUCGCAGAAGAAGCACCGGCUAACUACGUGCCAGCAGCCGCGGUAAUAC